CUACGGGAGGCAGCAGUGGGGAAUAUUGCACAAUGGGCGCAAGCCUGAUGCAGCCAUGCCGCGUGUAUGAAGAAGGCCUUCGGGUUGUAAAGUACUUUCAGCGGGGAGGAAGGGAGUAAAGUUAAUACCUUUGCUCAUUGACGUUACCCGCAGAAGAAGCACCGGCUAACUCCGUGCCAGCAGCCGCGGUAAUACGGAGGGUGCAAGCGUUAAUCGGAAUUACUGGGUGUAAAGCGCACGCAGGCGGUGUGUUAAGUCAGAUGUGAAAUCCCCGGGCUCAACCGGGGAACUGCAUCUGAUACUGGCAAGCUUGAGUCUCGUAGAGGGGGGUAGAAUUCCAGGUGUAGCGGUGAAAUGCGUAGAGAUCUGGAGGAAUACCGGUGGCGAAGGCGGCCCCCUGGACGAAGACUGACGCUCAGGUGCGAAAGCGUGGGGAGCAAACAGGAUUAGAUACCCCGGUAGUC
RNAcentral lists this ribosomal RNA (464 nucleotides) under uncultured bacterium. Its description in RNAcentral is "partial 16S ribosomal RNA". It matches the Rfam family "Bacterial small subunit ribosomal RNA", at positions 339 to 795 of the family's 1533-position model. The record is from RNAcentral.